GAUGAACGCUGGCGGCGUGCCUAACACAUGCAAGUCGAGCGAUCUUCUUCGGAAGAGAGCGGCGGACGGGUGAGUAACGCGUGGGUAACCUGCCCUGUACACACGGAUAACAUACCGAAAGGUAUGCUAAUACGAGAUAAUAUGCUUUUAUCGCAUGGUAGAAGUAUCAAAGCUUUUGCGGUACAGGAUGGACCCGCGUCUGAUUAGCUGGUUGGUAAGGUAACGGUUUACCAAGGCGACGAUCAGUAGCCGACCUGAGAGGGUGAUCGGCCACAUUGGAACUGAGACACGGUCCAAACUCCUACGGGAGGCAGCAGUGGGGAAUAUUGCACAAUGGGCGAAAGCCUGAUGCAGCAACGCCGCGUGAGCGAUGAAGGCCUCGGUUCGGUAAA
This 392-nucleotide ribosomal RNA is filed under the name uncultured bacterium. RNAcentral's name for it is "bacterial SSU rRNA". It matches the Rfam family "Bacterial small subunit ribosomal RNA", at positions 28 to 429 of the family's 1533-position model. The record is from RNAcentral.